AAUAGAUACCCCGGUAGUCCACGCUGUAAACGUUGGGCGCUAGGUGUGGGGGCCUCUCCGGUUCCCUGUGCCGCAGCUAACGCAUUAAGCGCCCCGCCUGGGGAGUACGGCCGCAAGGCUAAACUCAAAGGGAAUUGACGGGGGCCCGCACAAGCGGCGGAGCAUGCGGAUUAAUUCGAUGCAACGCGAAGAACCUUACCUGGGUUUGACAUGGCCGCAAAACCGGCAGAGAUGUCGGGUCCUUCGGGGGCGGUCACAGGUGGUGCAUGACUGUCGUCAGCUCGUGUCGUGAGAUGUUGGGUUAAGUCCCGCAACGAGCGCAACCCUCGUUCGAUGUUGCCAGCGCGUUAUGGCGGGGACUCAUCGAAGACUGCCGGGGUCAACUCGGAGGAAGGUGGGGAUGACGUCAAGUCAUCAUGCCCCUUAUGUCCAGGGCUUCACGCAUGCUACAAUGGCCGGUACAAUGGGCUGCGAUACCGUGAGGUGGAGCGAAUCCCAAAAAGCCGGUCUCAGUUCGGAUCGGGGUCUGCAACUCGACCCCG
RNAcentral lists this ribosomal RNA (542 nucleotides) under uncultured bacterium. Its description in RNAcentral is "bacterial SSU rRNA". It matches the Rfam family "Bacterial small subunit ribosomal RNA", at positions 777 to 1320 of the family's 1533-position model. The record is from RNAcentral.